AUGAACGCUGGCGGCGUGCCUAAUACAUGCAAGUCGAGCGAACAGACGAGGAGCUUGCUCCUCUGACGUUAGCGGCGGACGGGUGAGUAACACGUGGAUAACCUACCUAUAAGACUGGGAUAACUUCGGGAAACCGGAGCUAAUACCGGAUAAUAUAUUGAACCGCAUGGUUCAAUAGUGAAAGACGGUUUUGCUGUCACUUAUAGAUGGAUCCGCGCCGCAUUAGCUAGUUGGUAAGGUAACGGCCUACCAAGGCAACGAUGCGUAGCCGACCUGAGAGGGUGAUCGGCCACACUGGAACUGAGACACGGUCCAGACUCCUACGGGAGGCAGCAGUAGGGAAUCUUCCGCAAUGGGCGAAAGCCUGACGGAGCAACGCCGCGUGAGUGAUGAAGGUCUUCGGAUCGUAAAACUCUGUUAUUAGGGAAGAACAAAUGUGUAAGUAACUAUGCACGUCUUGACGGUACCUAAUCAGAAAGCCACGGCUAACUACGUG
This 496-nucleotide ribosomal RNA is filed under the name uncultured bacterium. Its description in RNAcentral is "partial 16S ribosomal RNA". It matches the Rfam family "Bacterial small subunit ribosomal RNA", at positions 29 to 507 of the family's 1533-position model. The record is from RNAcentral.